RNAcentral lists this long non-coding RNA (340 nucleotides) under Setaria viridis. RNAcentral describes it as "long non-coding RNA (SVIR_LNC001480)". Lineage: Eukaryota; Viridiplantae; Streptophyta; Magnoliopsida; Poales; Poaceae. The record is from RNAcentral.
UUUUAGUAAGCUCUUUGGGCAAAAAAAUGUGUCAGCUAGUACACCGAAAAAGCUAUCAUAUAGUUCCAAGAAAAACUAUUAUAUUGGUUAGUCGGGUAAGUCUUGCUGAGUACCCCGUACUCAGGGUUAUCCCUUGUGGCUAUUUUCAUAGGCACCGCAGGAGUCCACCGAGGAGGAAGCCCCGAAAAACUAGGGUAUUGUUACGAGUCUCGCAAUACCCUUAGAAGAAAACUUUAAUGCUCAUCUUCCACCUGAACCUGUUUAUGUUUAAUCCCUAGAAUCUCUUUCUAACCUGCACUGUUAAGUUUAUUUCAAACUACGUCCUGUAAUAACUCGUACC